GUAAUUUUGCAAUAAUUUUGAUGGAAUUUAACGAAAAUUCUUGUAGUUUUACUGACGAUCUGUUUCGAAUUGAAUUGACAACAGUGCGCAAUUGUGGAAGGAGGACCGUUCUUCCUUUAUUUCGCUCUCUCUCGGUCUUCUGCGACGACUACACCGUUUCUCUCACGGACAGUUGAAUAUUCAUAGCUGUUCUGCUCAAAGAGAUUACCCCUUUCGUUCUCUCCCUGAGGUUUCUGCCAUUCUGAAUUUCCAGUGAGCAAAAAGGAGCAAACUUUCCAAGGAAAUCUCUCACUAUUUCAGAAUUCUCUGUGUUUUUGGCAUCUUUUUCUUCGGUUCUGUACUUCUGCUCUUCAGAAUCAUGGGUAUACUAGCUCUUUUGAAGAGUUAUCGGAGCUUAUGAAGGGAAAUCAGGGAUUUUAGCAGAGAAGGAUGAAUUGGGUAUCGGCUUCGGCUCUUCUUUUCUGCUUAAUAUCGCCUUUUCUUCAGCUCCCAUUAAUCUCCGGCAACGCCGAAGGUGAUGCCUUGAAUGCUUUGAAGACUAAUUUGGAUGAUCCCAAUAAUGUUCUGCAGAGCUGGGAUUCAACCCUUGUGAAUCCCUGCACUUGGUUUCAUGUUACAUGCAGUCCAGACAACAGUGUUACUAGAGUUGAUUUGGGAAAUGCGAAUUUGACGGGGCAACUGGUUCCGCAGCUUGGUCUGCUUCCGAAUUUGCAGUACUUGGAGCUUUACAGCAAUAAUAUAAGUGGAAUAAUUCCUAAUGAACUCGGGAACUUAACAAACUUGGUCAGUUUGGAUCUUUACAUGAACCACUUGACUGGUCCCAUCCCCAACUCCUUGGGCAAUCUUCAGAAACUGCGUUUCCUGAGGCUCAACAACAACACAUUGAAUGGAGGUAUUCCCAUGUCUUUAACGACAGUUUUUACACUUCAAGUCCUUGAUCUCUCUUCUAACCGUUUGCAAGGACAAAUCCCCGUGAAUGGUUCCUUCUCACUUUUCACUCCUAUCAGUUUUCAAAGUAAUCCCGGAUUGCGAGCUCCUCCGGUUUCCCCGCCUCCUCCGUUUUCUCCAACUCCCUCUUCUUCUUCAGGACGGAACAGCGAAACUGGGGCCAUAGCGGGAGGAGUAGCUGCGGGUGCUGCUCUUCUGUUUGCAGGUCCUGCAAUUUUGCUUGCUUGGUGGCGGCGAAGGAAACCUGACGUCUAUUUCUUUGAUGUUCCCGCUGAAGAAGACCCCGAAGUUCAUCUUGGACAGCUUAAGAAAUUCUCGUUGCGCGAACUUCAAAUCGCGACAGACAAUUUCAGCAACGGCAAUAUCCUUGGAAGAGGUGGAUUUGGUAAGGUUUACAAAGGGCGUUUGGCUGAUGGCUCUUUAGUUGCAGUUAAGAGACUAAAAGAGGAACGCACUCAAGGCGGGGAGAUGCAGUUCCAGACCGAGGUUGAAAUGAUCAGUAUGGCAGUGCAUAGAAACCUUCUCCGUUUACUCGGCUUUUGCAUGACACCAACAGAGCGAUUGCUUGUUUACCCGUACAUGGCAAAUGGAAGCGUUGCAUCACGUUUAAGAGAGCGACGAGACACAGAUACACCACUCGAUUGGGCAAAGAGGAAGUACAUUUCUCUUGGAGCUGCAAGAGGGCUGGCAUAUUUGCACGACCAUUGCGACCCGAAGAUUAUUCAUCGUGAUGUGAAAGCUGCGAAUAUCUUGCUGGACGAGGAGUUUGAAGCCGUGGUGGGUGAUUUUGGGCUCGCGAAGCUCAUGGAUUACAAGGACACUCAUGUAACCACCGCUGUUCGAGGUACAAUCGGGCACAUAGCUCCUGAAUAUCUCUCAACGGGUAAAUCUUCGGAGAAAACGGAUGUGUUUGGGUAUGGAGUUAUGCUUCUGGAGAUCAUAACCGGGCAGAGGGCCUUCGAUCUUGCCCGCCUUGCCAACGAUGAUGAUGUCAUGCUGCUCGACUGGGUGAAAGGGCUGCUAAAGGACAAGAAAUAUGAGACAUUAGUAGACAUAGAUCUUCAAGGAGACUUUGUUGAAGAAGAAGUGGAGCAGCUAAUCCAGGUAGCUCUUCUCUGCACACAAAACUCGCCAUUGGAGCGCCCCAAGAUGUCUGAAGUUGUACGGAUGCUAGACGGCGAUGGCUUGGCUGAGAAGUGGGAGGAGUGGCAGAAGGAAGAAACUUUCCGGGCAGAUCUCAUCCACACCCACCACCACAAUCCUAACACCGAAUGGAUCAUCGCCGAUUCCACUUCAAAUAUCCGGCCAGACGAGCUGUCUGGCCCGAGAUGAUGAACCUUCAUUCCUACUUCCAUCACCAAACAUGAAACCGAGUUUUUUUUUCACUUUUGGUUCCACACCAAUGGAACAAUUUCCACAUUAAAUCUUUGUCACAUUUAGUACUUCUGAUCUAAUUUCCGGUCAUGAUUAUGGUUCGGGUGGUGACUUGCCUUAAAGGGCAAAAUUGUCAUUUCAAUUAUUCUUUCCUAAACUUUUCGAGGAGGAACUUUUGUCACGGAUGACCAAAAAUAAGGUCGGAAGGACCAAAUGUAAGACAAAAUAUGAAAAAUCAAUAGUCUGAGACCAAAUGUGGACUAGAAGUGGAAAAACUCUAUUCAACCCAAGAAAUGUAUGUUGUAAGAUUUUCAAA
Molecule: RNA transcript, 2638 nt
Organism: Ipomoea triloba (trilobed morning glory)
Lineage: Eukaryota; Viridiplantae; Streptophyta; Magnoliopsida; Solanales; Convolvulaceae
Gene name: BRASSINOSTEROID INSENSITIVE 1-associated receptor kinase 1-like
Exons: 12
Source: RefSeq, a predicted model, not a curated record